RNAcentral lists this ribosomal RNA (776 nucleotides) under Heterocapsa rotundata. RNAcentral's name for it is "partial Eukaryotic large subunit ribosomal RNA". It matches the Rfam family "Eukaryotic large subunit ribosomal RNA", at positions 19 to 679 of the family's 3401-position model. The record is from RNAcentral. Lineage: Eukaryota; Dinophyceae; Peridiniales; Heterocapsaceae.
GCAAACCCGCUGAAUUUAAGCAUAUAAGUAAGCGGAGGAAAAGAAACUAAAUAGGAUUCCCUCAGUAAGGGCGACUGAACAGGGAUAAGCUCAGCAUGGAAAUCGGGGCCUCUGGCCUUGAAUUGUAGUCUCGAGUUGCAUUGCCAACGGAGGCGCAGAUGUAAGCCUCUUGGAAAAGAGCAUCAACGAGGGUGAGAGUCCCGUUUGUCAUCUGCAGUCCCCCGUGCACGGUAUGCUUCUAAAGAGUCACGUUCCUCGGGAUUGGAGCGCAAAGUGGGUGGUAAAUUUCAUCUAAAGCUAAAUAUAGGUUCGAGACCGAUAGCAAACAAGUACCAUGAGGGAAAGGUGAAAAGGACUUUGAAAAGAGAGUUAAAAGUGCCUGAAAUUGCUGAAAGGGAAGCGAAUGGAACCAGUGCUUCUUGGCAAGAUUGGUGCGUGCUAAUGUGAUUGGCUGCUGCAUCAGCGCAAGCGUUGCAGUGGUUUUUGAUCAGGAUGUGCGUGUUGUUUCUUGCCUUGUGUGUCAACGUCAGUUCUCAAUCGAGGAAAACGCCAGGGACAUGGUAGCUCUGCUGCGGUGGAGUGAAUGUGCUUGGUUGAACUCAUUUGUGGACUGGCUCAUGCGUGUCUGGUUGCAGUGUUUCGUGUUGCCGAAUUUUGUCUGAGUGUGGAUUUCCUCUCUCAGCUGAGUUUGGUAACUGGAGCAUCUCCCUGACACAACGACGCUGACUAAAUGGUUCUAUUCGACCCGUCUUGAAACACGGACCAAGGAGUCUAAC